RNAcentral lists this ribosomal RNA (460 nucleotides) under uncultured bacterium. RNAcentral's name for it is "partial 16S ribosomal RNA". It matches the Rfam family "Bacterial small subunit ribosomal RNA", at positions 338 to 795 of the family's 1533-position model. The record is from RNAcentral.
CCUACGGGUGGCAGCAGUGAGGAAUAUUGGUCAAUGGGCUUACGCCUGAACCAGCCAAGUCGCGUGAGGGAAGACUGCCCUAUGGGUUGUAAACCUCUUUUGUCAGGGAGCAAUUGGCGCUACGUGUAGCGUUAUCGAGAGUACCUGAAGAAAAAGCAUCGGCUAACUCCGUGCCAGCAGCCGCGGUAAUACGGAGGAUGCGAGCGUUAUCCGGAUUUAUUGGGUUUAAAGGGAGCGUAGGCGGAAUGCCAAGUCAGCGGUAAAAGCGCGGGGCUAAAACGCGCUCCGCCGUGGAUACGGGCGUUCUUGAGUGGGCGAGAGGGAUGUGGAAUGCGAGGUGUAGCGGUGAAAUGCAUAGAGAUCACGCAGAACACCGAUUGCGAAGGCAGCAUACCGGCGCCCGACUGACGCUGAAGCACGAAAGCGUGGGUAGCGAACAGGAUUAGAUACCCGAGUAGUC